GACAGAGAGAGCAGAUGAGAUGGGAAAAGCCAGGGAAAGCAAGCAACAAGGUGAAAUAAAACCUCACACGAGCCUUUGGGGAACGCAGCACUCGGGUGCUAUCAGAGCAGAGCAAGUCCGCCUGAUGGGACUGCAGAAAACAUUGUAUCUGGUGGUGCACAACAAAUACCCUACUUUAUAGGGAGCAAUAAAAGUGCACAAAGGACUCCAGAGAAAAUUUCCUGCCUUCAGUACAAAACAUUUCUGCAGUGUAAAGUAAAGUGAAAGUUAAGGAAUAAUUGACUGUGUUAAACAGUAAAAGUGUCUGUAUAAAAGAGAAGUUUGGGGAAGUUGGAGAUGAUGAAGAUUUUCUGCGUAGCUGACUACAGAAGAGACUGGUCAUUAACUGAAACUACUGACUAACAAUUUAUUAACCCCGAACACAUUUUUCAGUAAAAUAACUGUAAGAGAACUGUGAUUUUAAUUGUUAACAUUCUGUGAAAAAAAAGGAGAUGGAGUGCAAUGGACUCGUGAAGCCAGCCUUGAAAUAUCUGCCUUCGAUUUCUUUUUAAAUAGUCAUCUGGGUGGUACAGUGAGCGACAAAUGAAGCCCAAAUAUUGUUGUUAGAAUUACUACGAUUUCUUAUGCGUACCAUAUUAAUGUCAAUCACGAUUAGGGACCCAUUGUUCUAGGGCACGGGAAAACAUGGGAUGACAAAAUCCCAAGCCUCUCAAAUGCACUCUGCGUAAGGCGCUGGAUUCCUCAGCUGGGUAGUUGGCUUCUCCAUGUAUAGCCUGACAGGAACCAGGAGCCCCUCCAAACAGCUCUGUCCCAAUCUAACCUCACGGAGUUUCUCUUUCUGAACUUCCCACCUAUGACUUCUUUUGGAUAAAACAUCACCAUACAAACAAACAAACAAACAAAACUUUAAACUGAAGAUGAGGACAAUGUUUCCAAUAUGAAAAACUGUAAGUCCCUAUGUACCCCUGAGCUUUAUUUAUUUCUUGUUAACAGGAUUGUAAGACAGAUGGAAGGAUUUAAUUAUUCCACAAUACUCUAGAAUUAUACUAAAUACACACUUCUGUCUGGUGUUUUGUAGACCUCUGCCUGCAUUUCAUGAAAAAAAAACAAAUGAGAAAUAUCCACUGCCUUUGUUCAGGGAGUGCAAAGUCUGAAUCGCUUUGCAGAUUUUAUAUGAUUUUUUCCUUUCAUUAGCAUUGACAACAAAACUUUCAUUUUAGAAAAUACUUCAGCAAUUUAGUAUAUUUCCUAGGAAUUUUAUUUCUUAGCUACUUCUCAUUGCAAAUAUAUUGAUGAAUGACAAAGUUAAAAGUAGAUUUAUGCCGCAGGUAUCCUGUGAUUAUCAUGUCUCUCUUACUAUUUUCAGAGCCUUCUACUUUGUUUUCUAUCAUGCACUGUGUUUAGACUUCACCCUUUAGGAAAAGGUCAUGCUUGUCUUGCACCUUGUACAAAUGGGUCACCCCUGGGUGAGAAGGGACUGCAAUAGAAAUCAUAGCAAUGAGUCAGAGUAGAGCAUAGCUAGGGAUUGCUAGUUGCUGGGUGGGGGAGGGAAAGACUGGCUUUGAUGAAAUAGCAAGUACCAACUAUUUUUCAGCCCACUGCUGCGGCAUGCUCCUCAGUCUUCAUGAACUAGCAUCAAAAUUACUGAUUAGCUUCAUACUUUCUUGGGUACUACUGCAUAUGGGAUGUGCAGUGACUGUCUCCUUAGUAUAUAACUCAUCCAAAACCUCCUGAAAUAACAUCACUUACAUUUAAGGACUUUUCAGACAAGAUGUGUAUGGCAGAGUCUAAUGGAAAUGGUAGAGGUACAAAGCUGCUUUUGAGAAGACUAAUAAGAACUGGAAUCACAUUUGUAUCACCUCAAGUGACUUUCUAUAUAAGUGUGGGUUGAAGAAGCACAUUUUGAAGGAAGCAGUAGGUAGUAAAUCUGGAACAUAUGGCUACUUUCUUUUACAGGAAAUGCAGAAUCCAGGCUGAAAAUCACAGUGCAUCCACACUGCUCAGUCAUAUUAAAAAUACCUCGGCAAGUUCAGAGCAAGAUGGUAUCUCUACUUUGGGCAGACGUGAGCUUCAGUCCUGGAAGUUGUAGAGCUUGAAAUACAGUUUUGUGAACUCCAGAACAAACUCCUGUCAAUGAAUAUGUAUUGCUUCUCCACAAAGUAAAUGGAAGAAAGAUGCUGGAUACUUACAGAGUUCCUAUUGGGAGAAUCAGAUCCACUUCCAGAACUGCCCUUCUUUGUUUUCUGGGCUAAAGAAGUCCCAAAGCGGAGAGUUUCAUACACAGGAUCAACCUUAUUGCCACAGGCUGCAAUGGAAGGAGCAAAACAUGCAUCAGUCCCCAAAGAUAUUUCUGCCCAGUUUCCUGCUCCACUUGUAGAAGCAUCUGCUUGAACUGACAUGUUGGGAUACAUGUUUAGAAAAACAAGUUGAGAGACUAUCCUGAUAGCAUUUGAAGAACUUAGUAGAAUUGGCUUUUGCUAGUGACUUUUUGCUGUGUCUUUGCUCACAUUAAGAUUACAUUUCCUUCACACGGGGCCUCUGAGUCCCUGUCAUUGCCUCAUCUCAGUCUACCUGCAAUCCUCCUUCCCUAAACACCACCUGUGCUGUCUACACUGACAUGAGUGAGUCAACAGGAGGCUUUAAUCCAUGUUUCCUUCCUAUUCCUACCACUAACUUCUUAGAUUGCUCUCCACGCAGCAUACUUAAUGGAAAAAAACUUUCUUCUUCCCUGAGCAUCGGGGUGGUGUAGGGGCUUUCAACUUUAUGCCACUAACGCUCACGGUGCUGUUAGUGGGAUAAUGUGGAUAAAUAAGAUGAACUGGAUCUUCCUGGGAAGGUGUUGAUAGUCCCAGUGUGGGACCAUGUGGGAACUGGGGGCAGUCAUGAGAAGAUACCUGCUAUUGGAAAUGUGUUUCAGGUUGCUCAGCACAGUCUAGGGGUAGCCAGAAAGGCCACCACCCCCACUGUCAUGUCUGAUCAUUUUCACUCCCACACUCACCCUCUUAGCUAGUCCCAAAGUAAUCUCCCAUGGAGGAGAAAUGAACGUCUUCAACUGGCAUGAAUGGAUCCAGAUGAAACUCUUUUAUACAUACUGCCUUGUCAGACCUCAGCUUCCCUUGUCAUACCAGGCAGCAGAAGCUUAGAAUACAACAUCUUAGUAACAUUGUACAGGAGAGCAAAGUACUAAAAAAAUGCCUGGGACUUUGAUUUUUGAUGGGAACAAAGUACAUCUCAUUUUUAAGUCAGA
This is a long non-coding RNA of Numida meleagris (helmeted guineafowl), 3247 nucleotides long. RefSeq lists it as uncharacterized. The record is from RefSeq and is a predicted model, not a curated record. Lineage: Eukaryota; Metazoa; Chordata; Aves; Galliformes; Numididae. The transcript is spliced from 2 exons.